CUCGUGUACGGUGGUGAUGACAAGCUAAACCUCAACCAAGACUAGUACUGGAAGGAGUUGGUGAAUUGGGUGGACCGGGUGGGCGGCUUCGGCCCCGCUACCACGUUCGACUUCACCACCAAGGGCAUCCUGAACGUCGCUGUGGAGGGCGAGCUGUGGCGGCUACAUGGCACUGGCGGCAAGGUGCUAGGCUGGUGGCCAGCCAAGGCGGUGACCUUUGUGGACAACCAUGACAUUGGAUCCACGCAGCACAUGUGGCCCUUCCCAUCUGGUAGGGUCAUGCAGGGAUAUGCCUACCUCACGCACCCAAGGAUCCCAUGCAUCUUCUACUAUCAUUUCUUCGAUUGGGGCCUCAAGGAGGAGAUCGAUUGUCUGGUAUCAAUCAGGACCCGGCAGGGGAUACAUAGUGAGAGCAAGCUGCAAAUCAUAAAGGCUGAUGUCGACCUUUAUCUCGCUGAGAUCGGUGGCAAGGUCAUCGUCAAGCUCGGCAGAUACGAUGUGGGACACCUCAUUCCGAGGGGGGGCUUCAAGAUGGUCGCGCGGGGCAAUGACUAUGUCGUAUGGGAGGAAAUAUGA
This 576-nucleotide ribosomal RNA is filed under the name Triticum aestivum (bread wheat). RNAcentral describes it as "partial small subunit ribosomal RNA". The record is from RNAcentral. Lineage: Eukaryota; Viridiplantae; Streptophyta; Magnoliopsida; Poales; Poaceae.